This 20-nucleotide unclassified non-coding RNA is filed under the name Chlamydomonas reinhardtii. RNAcentral's name for it is "small RNA Cre_0088". Lineage: Eukaryota; Viridiplantae; Chlorophyta; Chlorophyceae; Chlamydomonadales; Chlamydomonadaceae. The record is from RNAcentral.
AAGACAGUAUUUGAGAUAGG